GGCGAUGUAGCUCAGUUGGUCAGAGCAUGCGGCUCAUAUCCGCAGUGUCCGGGGUUCAAUUCCCUGCAUCGCCACCA
RNAcentral lists this transfer RNA (77 nucleotides) under Pseudomonadota bacterium. RNAcentral describes it as "tRNA-Met". It matches the Rfam family "tRNA". From Rfam's summary of the family: Transfer RNA (tRNA) molecules are approximately 80 nucleotides in length. Their secondary structure includes four short double-helical elements and three loops (D, anti-codon, and T loops). Further hydrogen bonds mediate the characteristic L-shaped molecular structure. tRNAs have two regions of fundamental functional importance: the anti-codon, which is responsible for specific mRNA codon recognition, and the 3' end, to which the tRNAs corresponding amino acid is attached (by aminoacyl-tRNA synthetases). tRNAs cope with the degeneracy of the genetic code in two manners: having more than one tRNA (with a specific anti-codon) for a particular amino acid; and 'wobble' base-pairing, i.e. permitting non-standard base-pairing at the 3rd anti-codon position. The record is from RNAcentral. Lineage: Bacteria; Pseudomonadati; Pseudomonadota. RNAcentral also lists the same sequence under 7 other names.